UACGUAGGGUGCAGGCGUUAAUCGGAAUUACUGGGCGUAAAGCGUGCGCAGGCGGUCGUUCAAGUCGCGUGUGAAAGCCCCGGGCUCAACCCGGGAAGUGCACUCGAUACUGCGAAGCUUGAGUGUCGGAGAGGUUGGUGGAAUUCUCGGUGUAGAGGUGAAAUUCGUAGAUAUCGAGAGGAACACCGGUGGCGAAGGCGGCCAACUGGACGAACACUGACGCUGAGACACGAAAGCGUGGGGAGCAAACAGG
RNAcentral lists this ribosomal RNA (253 nucleotides) under uncultured bacterium. RNAcentral describes it as "partial 16S ribosomal RNA". It matches the Rfam family "Bacterial small subunit ribosomal RNA", at positions 524 to 776 of the family's 1533-position model. The record is from RNAcentral.